Molecule: small RNA, 127 nt
Filed under: Marmota monax (woodchuck)
Lineage: Eukaryota; Metazoa; Chordata; Mammalia; Rodentia; Sciuridae
Source: RNAcentral
GCUGGGCGCAGUGGUGCACACCUGUAAUCCCAGUGGCUUGGGAGGCUGAGGCAGGAGGAUCGAAAGUUCAAAGCCAGCCUUAGCAAGUUAGCGAGUCCCUAAGCAAUUCAGUGAGACCCUGUCUCUA